This is a long non-coding RNA of Talpa occidentalis (Iberian mole), 623 nucleotides long. RefSeq lists it as uncharacterized. The record is from RefSeq and is a predicted model, not a curated record. NCBI's taxonomy places the organism in Eukaryota, Metazoa, Chordata, Mammalia, Eulipotyphla, Talpidae. The transcript is spliced from 5 exons.
GAUCCUGAUGGCACAGCAGGAGUUUAACCCACUCUAGCAAGGGGCCUGGAAAACUGCAAACUCUGGUCCGAGGAUCGUCACCACUUCAGAAACGGCUUGUCCUCUGCGUGGGAUCUGGUUUUUCACAGAUGCUGAUGUAACAUUCUCUUCUGGAAACAACCCGAGGAGGCACGCCAGGCAAUGUUAAUAUUACAGACUCACAGCUGGGAACACGGAGAGACUUAAAAAUUUUGUUGUGGGCACCAAUCAGCAGCAGCUCAGUGAUGGUGCAGGGCACGUGACCACAGCCAAGGUGAACAUCUCAUGGAGGCUCUGUGCCCACAGCUCCAGUUUGAACCGGUCUGGUCUCAAGGCUCAUUGCACUCUGUACCUCACCUCAGAAAAGAAGAAAAAGAAGGAAGAAGCUUUGGUGGCUGACCAUUGUGCACAAAAGCUAAAAAGUUCUGCAGGCAUUUCCAAUCUCUCUCUUAGAAGGUAAAUGGAAAAGUUGAAGACAAUCACUUGUGUUGAUUCUGUCCAUGUUGAAGCUAACUCCAAGUAUAUUUGCCAAGAUACCGUCUUUAUUCCGAGUGACAAAGUGCCCAGGUAAAUAUGUGAUACCCCAAAGAGAAAGAAAAUGAGUA